RNAcentral lists this ribosomal RNA (1373 nucleotides) under uncultured bacterium. Its description in RNAcentral is "bacterial SSU rRNA". It matches the Rfam family "Bacterial small subunit ribosomal RNA", at positions 28 to 1381 of the family's 1533-position model. The record is from RNAcentral.
GAUGAACGCUGGCGGCGUGCCUAAUACAUGCAAGUCGAGCGAACGGACGAGAAGCUUGCUUCUCUGAUGUUAGCGGCGGACGGGUGAGUAACACGUGGAUAACCUACCUAUAAGACUGGGAUAACUUCGGGAAACCGGAGCUAAUACCGGAUAAUAUUUUGAACCGCAUGGUUCAAAAGUGAAAGACGGUCUUGCUGUCACUUAUAGAUGGAUCCGCGCUGCAUUAGCUAGUUGGUAAGGUAACGGCUUACCAAGGCAACGAUGCAUAGCCGACCUGAGAGGGUGAUCGGCCACACUGGAACUGAGACACGGUCCAGACUCCUACGGGAGGCAGCAGUAGGGAAUCUUCCGCAAUGGGCGAAAGCCUGACGGAGCAACGCCGCGUGAGUGAUGAAGGUCUUCGGAUCGUAAAACUCUGUUAUUAGGGAAGAACAUAUGUGUAAGUAACUGUGCACAUCUUGACGGUACCUAAUCAGAAAGCCACGGCUAACUACGUGCCAGCAGCCGCGGUAAUACGUAGGUGGCAAGCGUUAUCCGGAAUUAUUGGGCGUAAAGCGCGCGUAGGCGGUUUUUUAAGUCUGAUGUGAAAGCCCCCGGCUCACCCGUGGAGGGUCAUUGGAAACUGGGAAACUUGAGUGCAGAAGAGGAAAGUGGAUUUCCAUGUGUAGCGGUGAAAUGCGCAGAGAUAUGGAGGAACACCAGUGGCGAAGGCGACUUUUUGGUCUGUAACUGACGCUGAUGUGCGAAAGCGUGGGGAUCAAACAGGAUUAGAUACCCUGGUAGUCCACGCCGUAAACGAUGAGUGCUAAGUGUUAGGGGGUUUCCGCCCCUUAGUGCUGCAGCUAACGCAUUAAGCACUCCGCCUGGGGAGUACGACCGCAAGGUUGAAACUCAAAGGAAUUGACGGGGACCCGCACAAGCGGUGGAGCAUGUGGUUUAAUUCGAAGCAACGCGAAGAACCUUACCAAAUCUUGACAUCCUUUGACAACUCUAGAGAUAGAGCCUUCCCCUUCGGGGGGGCAAAGUGACAGGUGGUGCAUGGUUGUCGUCAGCUCGUGUCGUGAGAUGUUGGGUUAAGUCCCGCAACGAGCGCAACCCUUAAGCUUAGUUGCCAUCAUUAAGUUGGGCACUCUAAGUUGACUGCCGGUGACAAACCGGAGGAAGGUGGGGAUGACGUCAAAUCAUCAUGCCCCUUAUGAUUUGGGCUACACACGUGCUACAAUGGACAAUACAAAGGGCAGCGAAACCGCGAGGUCAAGCAAAUCCCAUAAAGUUGUUCUCAGUUCGGAUUGUAGUCUGCAACUCGACUACAUGAAGCUGGAAUCGCUAGUAAUCGUAGAUCAGCAUGCUACGGUGAAUACGUUCCCGGGUCU